Molecule: transfer RNA, 85 nt
Organism: Felis catus (domestic cat)
Lineage: Eukaryota; Metazoa; Chordata; Mammalia; Carnivora; Felidae
Rfam family: tRNA
About the family: Transfer RNA (tRNA) molecules are approximately 80 nucleotides in length. Their secondary structure includes four short double-helical elements and three loops (D, anti-codon, and T loops). Further hydrogen bonds mediate the characteristic L-shaped molecular structure. tRNAs have two regions of fundamental functional importance: the anti-codon, which is responsible for specific mRNA codon recognition, and the 3' end, to which the tRNAs corresponding amino acid is attached (by aminoacyl-tRNA synthetases). tRNAs cope with the degeneracy of the genetic code in two manners: having more than one tRNA (with a specific anti-codon) for a particular amino acid; and 'wobble' base-pairing, i.e. permitting non-standard base-pairing at the 3rd anti-codon position.
Source: Rfam
GCCUGGGUAGCUCAGUCAGUUAAGCAUCUGACUUUAGCUCAGGUCAUGAUCUGGCAGUUUGUAGGAUCGAGCCCUGCAUCGGGCU